Piliocolobus tephrosceles (Ugandan red Colobus) is the source of this 459-nucleotide RNA transcript. RefSeq lists it as uncharacterized. The transcript is spliced from 3 exons. The record is from RefSeq and is a predicted model, not a curated record. NCBI's taxonomy places the organism in Eukaryota, Metazoa, Chordata, Mammalia, Primates, Cercopithecidae.
AUUGGCUUGUGAAAUGCUAUCAUAUUUUCUUUCUUUCAUUUCAUUAACAAGAAAAGGAAAAGCUGGCUGUGACCCACUGAACUGAUUUCACGAUACUUAAUGGAUGGAUAACUGUGGGUAAAGAAAAGACCCACACCCUGGUGAUGUGGAAAGAGCUCGUGAUCUGGAGCAGUCCUCUCCAUAGAAGUUUCCAAGACAAUGAAAAUAUUCUGUUUUGCGCUGUCCAACACGGUAGCCACUGGCCCCGUACGGCUACUGAGCAUGUGAACUGAGCUCUGGCUCAAUGACACGACAAAGAGGGCCAAGGGCUGCUCCUGAUCAAGAGAGCAGCACACUUACUGAGGACCCACCAUGUACAAGAUACCCCACCAAGGGCUGUGAAGGAGACUGCAAACACGGAACAGAAGUUUGCUGAGGAUGAUGGCUUCCAGCUCCCUCCAUGUUUCUGCAAAGGAUAUG